This is a non-coding RNA of Ictidomys tridecemlineatus (thirteen-lined ground squirrel), 1155 nucleotides long. Lineage: Eukaryota; Metazoa; Chordata; Mammalia; Rodentia; Sciuridae. The record is from RefSeq and is a predicted model, not a curated record.
ACUGCUAUGAGAAAACAAGAGCUGAAAUGCCGAUGGUGGAAGGGAACAGGUGGGGUACUGUCCCAGAGGUGGCGUCAAGCCAGGCUUGGGCUAGAAAAAGCCACAUCCCAGUCCCACCUAAGGAAUGUCCUUGGGAGUGCUCAGAUGCCAGAAAAGCCACUCUCCCACUUCCAGGAUGAUGGGUGGGUGGGGGAAGGGAGAGAUUCAGCUGCUGCCCAAAGCUCAUGGGAAAUGGAGCCAGCUGGAGUUUUAACAGGAGAGUGAGGCCCUGAUCCAACACUGGCCAGGGAGAGCUUGUGACUCCCCAGGUCUGUGCAUGGGGAGAGCCAUAAAGAUUCUGGCUGUGGAGAUGUACAAGGCAGCGUUCCUCUGGUGAGCAAACUCCCGGAGGAUAACAGGUGCCCUGUUUUUCACACUUGGAAUAUUCCACAGUUUCUCCCUGGAACCCGUAAGAUGACUCAUACAUGCUCAGAGCCUAGCUGCUAUGGUAAUGUCCUUGGUGAGGAGGCUCUGUGCUAGAGUCUUAUCAUCCUCAACCUUGGUCUCAGACACUCAGCUUCUGGGGCUAAAGGAGCUCUCUCAGACAACACCAUGUGCCCCUGCGCCUACACCUGCCCACAGGACAGUAACUUUAUACAACGAGCAUACGUUCUUAUGAUGCCAACGGGGCUAAUGUAACCUAUGGAUAUCAAUAAAGCUGGCAGCUCAGCGAGCAGCCCUUUUACUUCGCCCCUCCCCUGCUGGCUUCUCUGUCUCUCUUUGUGUUUUCUUUAGAGAGAGCGCCACAGCAAAUCUGACUUUACUCCGAGACUCGACCAAGGUGGAUGGGUCCUUAAGAUUAUCUCACCCAACCCCUGAUUUUGUCAAGAAGCCUAGAGAAGGUCAGCGAGUGAUCUUCCUAAAGUCACACAGGAGGUCAGCGACCAAAGCAGAGGUUGAACCAGGCCCAAGCCCUGAACAGCUGGUUUCCCUCUUCGGUGCUGCAGCUCACUGCCAGGCUUUCAAGCUCCGAAUUGAACUCGGAUGCUUAACCAUGGAGCCACAUCUCCAGCCCUUUCUUCCUGAGAGAGAGUCUCAUGGAGUCAAUUUGUAGAUGGCUUUGAGUGCUGCCAUUUUUCCAGGGUGCUUGGGAUUGAACCCAUUAUACCUUCAAGG